RNAcentral lists this ribosomal RNA (393 nucleotides) under uncultured bacterium. RNAcentral describes it as "bacterial SSU rRNA". It matches the Rfam family "Bacterial small subunit ribosomal RNA", at positions 28 to 424 of the family's 1533-position model. The record is from RNAcentral.
GACGAACGCUGGCGGCGUGCUUAACACAUGCAAGUCGAGCGGUAAGGCCCUUUCGGGGGUACACGAGCGGCGAACGGGUGAGUAACACGUGGGUGACCUGCCCUCAGCUCUGGGAUAAGCCUGGGAAACCGGGUCUAAUACUGGAUAUGACUCCAUGACGCAUGUUGUGGGGUGGAAAGCCUUGUGCGGCUGAGGAUGGGCCCGCGGCCUAUCAGCUUGUUGGUGGGGUGANGGCCUACCAAGGCGACGACGGGUAGCCGGCCUGAGAGGGCGACCGGCCACACUGGGACUGAGACACGGCCCAGGCUCCUACGGGAGGCAGCAGUGGGGAAUCUUGCGCAAUGGGCGAAAGCCUGACGCAGCGACGCCGCGUGAGGGAUGACGGCCUCGGUU